RNAcentral lists this ribosomal RNA (380 nucleotides) under uncultured organism. RNAcentral describes it as "partial 16S ribosomal RNA". It matches the Rfam family "Bacterial small subunit ribosomal RNA", at positions 527 to 897 of the family's 1533-position model. The record is from RNAcentral.
GGAGGGUGCAAGCGUUAAUCGGGAAUUAUUGGGGCGUAAAGGGCACGUAGGUGGCAAAGUCAGUUGGGCUGUGAAAGCCCCCGGGGCUCAACCUGGGGAAGGGCCAGUCAAAACUGCUUAGCUAGAGUACAGUAGAGGGUAGUGGAAUUUCCGGUGUAGCGGUGAAAUGCGUAGAGAUCGGAAGGAACAUCAGUGGCGAAGGCGGCUACCUGGACUGAUACUGACACUGAGGUGCGAAAGCGUGGGGAGCGAACAGGAUUAGAUACCCUGGUAGUCCACGCUGUAAACGAUGACAACUAGCCGUUGGGCAUAUAGAAAUGUUUAGUGGCGCAGCUAACGCGAUAAGUUGUCCGCCUGGGGAGUACGGCCGCAAAGGCUAA